UUAAGGGGAAGACAGGCCUCCCUGAACCGACAGGUCCCAGCAAAGGAGGUUUUUCAAAGAAUUCUUCAGGGUCCUCUACACCCCCAUCCACCACCCUCAAAGGCUUUGACUCCAGUCUGAACCCCUGUCCAAGGCCAUGAGCAACGAGCUGAAACUGGCUUCUAUGGGUCUAUAGACUGGUGCGUUCUGCAUUCUGACUUUCUCAGGAACCGACCAUAUCAUCUGAAAAUGGAGGUGAAUCUCAAAUGCUCCAAAUGUUUGUUGAUUUUUCAGAGAAUAUACCCUAAGGCAUUACCCAAUGUGACAGACUUCUGACCCUGGAGGACCUACAUAUUGAGAAGCAAAGUGGCAUUUCCUUGAGCUGUGCUACAGCCAAGUUCCAUUUCUUACUGCCUUCGGGUGACCGGCCAGAUUCACGAGGAACACUCUCAGAAGGUGUGUGAGCCUGUCCGCCUACAGGCCAGGCAGAGGACUAUUCCUGAUGAUGAGAUCAUGGCCACAGAAAUAUAGUUGAGGACACAAAAAUCUCUAUUUUUAUAAUGUUUACCUUCUGUCUCAUUGUAUACAGAUGUGAGGUUAUAAAACUGACAUCUAUUUUCAGCAUAGGAAACCAAGUAAUUUAACUCAAGCCUAUUUAAGAAAAAAAAAAAAAAGGACAAUACAUAUGUCUGAAAAGUGGUUUCCAUAUGCAUAUGCAAAUACAAGCAUCAAGGUAUUUUAUUAUAUUUUCAGUUUGGUUAAUGUGUAUUUUAGUACGCCAAGAUUCUAAAAGAGAUCUCCAAGAUUUGCUUUGUUGGGAAUUUUCUCAAGUGUUUUUGUUUCUCAUCACACGUGGAGCCUGUAGAUUGGAGAAAUGGCCUUCCCAUAACAGCAAAAGUUCAGCAUCGUGUCAGAGAUCCUUUUAUUUUUCUUUUGAAAGACUAACAACUGGCUACUCAGAUGUGGUGCACAGACCCACAGCAUUAGCACCCCCUUGGAGCCUCUUCAGAAAUGUAAAGUCUCAGCCCCCAUCCCAGGCCUGCGGCCCCCAGAGCUGCAUGUUCACCAGAUCUCCAGGUGAUCUGAGUCUGCCUAAGCGGGCCGGCAGCACCGCACUGACUCACCAGGCCACAGAUGCCAUCGAUUCUGGAAUCUGGCAGGUUUUAUUAUCCAGAUUGAUGAUCACCGGGUGCAGGAGAAGCUGGGCUCCCACCGUCACAACUGGCCUCGCUCUGCAGGGAGAAGACACACGGUUUUAACCAGCCCCAGGAGGGGCAGGCAGAAGCCCACUGCUCCACCUCUAGAGGCCACGGCCAACAUUUCCGGCCCCGGUGCCAAGAACUCCCCUCACUGAGUGAACAGGUGGGCUCUAGACUCAACCAACGACCUACAGACACAUCCGGUAGCUCACGAAUACAAAUAAAGGAGCCAUGGGCCCAUGAAGCACAGCCACGCUCACGGACCUUCUCUGUCUGUGGAGGGGCUAACGGUAUUUUGGCGACAUGGCUGUGAAAGAUUUCUCUUCUGGGACCUGCUGGUCUGUCCAUAUUCGCAUCUGAAUAUGAGGAAGUACAUCAUCCUACAGUCACUCACGUUGCAUCUGUAAGUGCUCGAGUUUUGCUAGUUUUGUCGCCAUGUUGGCUGGUGAUUUUGAACCGCUGAUCGAUCAUUUUGUAGACAAGCUUUGCAGAUUGAGCUAAACCCAUGAGGGUGAGCUGACUCAUGCUGCGCUUCACGUGGAGCAAUGGUUCUCAACCCUGACUGCACAACAGAAGCACCCCGGGAGCUGAAAAACAGAAGCCAGCCUCCCGGGGUCAAGGCCAGGCACUGGAAUGUCAAAAACAAAAACCUCCAGGUGCUUCUAUGGUGCGGCCGAGUUUGAGGAGAGGGUCUAAUGCCGAGUAAACUCCAUUCCAACCACCCAGGGAGGAUAAAUCAGACAAGAAAAAUGGAGGACCUGGAACAGGGCCACUGAGAGCCCACACCAUGCCUGUGUGUGAAUUUAAAGGUGCAUCUGCUCAUCCCAAGGGAAGGGAACCACCUGGUCUCCUAAAUGUGCCAAAGCACUACCGAAUCUCCCGAAAACGUCAGUGCCUGCGAGGAUCUGCGGAUUUCUGAAGACCAGCACGUUCACUUGCAAGUACAGAUGGAAGACCAAACAUUUAUAACUGCGCUAAGGAAUUCCAAAUCUUCUCUGAUGGUGAAACUACUUGGAACCUCCAUGCUCCAGGAAGCAUAGCUGUCUCAGCAUGGUUUAGCAGGCGUCUGCUUGAAGGACUCCAAGUUCCUGGUUUUUAACUGGGUAAUAUGUGUCCACGCAGUCACAGAAAAUAACACCUCAACACGGUUUUAUCCACACUUUGCAGAUGUCAGCAUGAGGGGGACCAUCUGGGUAGAAAUUCAACCCAAUUAUGACACACUUCAGGUCUUAAUAAAAAGCAGAUAUCUUUUCUUUCAGUCCUGAUUCCCAAUCGACAUAUUUCCCAUGUGGUUCUAACCGCAUGGUUCUUACUGAACUUCAUCAGUAACAGCUAAUGAAUUUCAAAAGACAUUUGUACCAGGGCAACUUAUUUCUAUGUGUUCUCUUUGGUAUGCAUUUUGUUUUUCCUCCUUGACUCUAUAAUAAAUGCAUUACAAAUGAACUUCUAACUUCUAUUAAGGGAGGCCAAAAUAUACACGCAAUUAAUAUUCACUUGAGUUUACAUAUGAUUACAGACUUUUCAAGAAAGAAUAAAUUAUAUAUACUUAGGUCUUAACCUAAAAUUUAUGCUUUGAUAUGUUAGUAGAAAAUUACAAAUUUCCUUCUUUAAAAUCUUAUGCUUUUGAUGUUUCUGGACUUUUAAAAAAGAAAAAACAAGUUCUGGAAAUCCUCACCCAAAAUGCACACAACUGGCAAAGAACUGGAGCAUCUUACAGAUUAGAGCAUAAAAAUGAAAAUAUAAACAUUUCUGUUUGCAUCUAGGCAAGAAGAUGGUAGACCUCAGAGAGAAAGGAUCUUGUCACCAUGCACUGGGUGAUCUUGGGCAAUUCAUUUAAUCUUCUGCAGUUUUAAUUUCUUCUC
Delphinapterus leucas (beluga whale) is the source of this 3040-nucleotide non-coding RNA. The record is from RefSeq and is a predicted model, not a curated record. Lineage: Eukaryota; Metazoa; Chordata; Mammalia; Artiodactyla; Monodontidae.